ACAAAAAUCUACGUUGAUUAGUUUAAUAUUUCAAUAUACUACGCAGUGGUAGCAUUCAUUUUAAAAUUCGCUGUUAUGAACUAUGACGACCCAUGCCGCUAUUGGCUCAAAGAACGUGGAUCUACGUUCUUUGAUUAGCUGCAACAGGCGGCGGCCAGCUGGCCACACGCGGAACGGAAGCUUGGUCCAUGGUGCUGAAAGUGAACGCGUCUCCUUCUGAGUUUGACAUUAAUUAUGAGUCUCUGAGACCAUGUCGCCACCAAUAAAGAAAAGGACGACAGACAUUAGAAGUUAUUUCGCUACCUCGGCUGAUGCUCAGACAGCAGAGCAAGGGGCAGAGCAGAACGAUGGAGAGGUGGCUGGAGCUUCAGGGCUCCAGGUGAGGUGUUAGUUCUCAGAUAUGUAAUAUACUGUGAAAUUAUCUCAGUAAAUAUGGCAUUUGAAGUGUUAGUCUUAAAUUAAGUUAAGCUAGUGU
Molecule: long non-coding RNA, 475 nt
Organism: Xiphophorus couchianus (Monterrey platyfish)
Lineage: Eukaryota; Metazoa; Chordata; Actinopteri; Cyprinodontiformes; Poeciliidae
Exons: 2
Source: RefSeq, a predicted model, not a curated record